RNAcentral lists this ribosomal RNA (421 nucleotides) under uncultured bacterium. RNAcentral's name for it is "bacterial SSU rRNA". It matches the Rfam family "Bacterial small subunit ribosomal RNA", at positions 355 to 774 of the family's 1533-position model. The record is from RNAcentral.
UAAGGAAUAUUGGUCAAUGGACGCAAGUCUGAACCAGCCAUGCCGCGUGAAGGAUGAAGGUCCUCUGGAUUGUAAACUUCUUUUAUCUGGGACGAAAACGGGAUUUUUAUCUCAAUUGACGGUACCAGAGGAAUAAGCACCGGCUAACUCCGUGCCAGCGGCCGCGGUAAUACGGAGGGUGCGAGCGUUAUCCGGAUUUACUGGGUUUAAAGGGUGCGUAGGUGGGCUUAUAAGUCAGUGGUGAAAUCUCCGAGCUUAACUUGGAAACUGCCGUUGAUACUAUAGGUCUUGUAUUAUCUGGAGGUAAGCGGAAUAUGUCAUGUAGCGGUGAAAUGCUUAGAUAUGACAUAGAACACCAAUUGCGAAGGCAGCUUACUACACAAUGAUUGACGCUGAUGCACGAAAGCGUGGGGAGCGAACA